GACGAACGCUGGCGGCGUGCCUAAUACAUGCAAGUCGAACGAACGGAUUGAGGAGCGUUGCGUCUUCAUGAAGUUAGUGGCGGACGGGUGAGUAACACGUGGGUAACCUGCCCUUCAGUGGGGGAUAACAUCCGGAAACGACUGCUAAUACCGCAUAACGUGCAUUGAUCGCAUGAUCGAAGCACCAAAGGAUUUAUUCGCUGAAGGAUGGGCUCGCGUCCGAUUAGCUAGUUGGUGAGGUAACGGCUCACCAAGGCGACGAUCGGUAGCCGAACUGAGAGGUUGAUCGGCCGCAUUGGGACUGAGACACGGCCCAG
RNAcentral lists this ribosomal RNA (317 nucleotides) under uncultured bacterium. RNAcentral describes it as "bacterial SSU rRNA". It matches the Rfam family "Bacterial small subunit ribosomal RNA", at positions 28 to 334 of the family's 1533-position model. The record is from RNAcentral.